GACGAACGCUGGCGGCGUGCUUAACACAUGCAAGUCGAACGGAAAGGCCCUGCUUUUGUGGGGUGCUCGAGUGGCGAACGGGUGAGUAACACGUGAGUAACCUGCCCUUGACUUUGGGAUAACUUCAGGAAACUGGGGCUAAUACCGGAUAGGAGCUCCUGCUGCAUGGUGGGGGUUGGAAAGUUUCGGCGGUUGGGGAUGGACUCGCGGCUUAUCAGCUUGUUGGUGGGGUAGUGGCUUACCAAGGCUUUGACGGGUAGCCGGCCUGAGAGGGUGACCGGCCACAUUGGGACUGAGAUACGGCCCAGACUCCUACGGGAGGCAGCAGUGGGGAAUAUUGCACAAUAGGCGGAAGCCUGAUGCAGCAACGCCGCGUGCGGGAUGACGGCCUUCGGGUUGUAAACCGCUUUCGCCUGUGACGAAGCGUGAGUGACGGUAAUGGGUAAAGAAGCACCGGCUAACUACGUGCCAGCAGCCGCGGUGAUACGUAGGGUGCGAGCGUUGUCCGGAUUUAUUGGGCGUAAAGGGCUCGUAGGUGGUUGAUCGCGUCGGAAGUGUAAUCUUGGGGCUUAACCCUGAGCGUGCUUUCGAUACGGGUUGACUUGAGGAAGGUAGGGGAGAAUGGAAUUCCUGGUGGAGCGGUGGAAUGCGCAGAUAUCAGGAGGAACACCAGUGGCGAAGGCGGUUCUCUGGGCCUUUCCUGACGCUGAGGAGCGAAAGCGUGGGGAGCGAACAGGCUUAGAUACCCUGGUAGUCCACGCUGUAAACGGUGGGUACUAGGUGUGGGGUCCAUUCCACGGGUUCCGUGCCGUAGCUAACGCUUUAAGUACCCCGCCUGGGGAGUACGGCCGCAAGGCUAAAACUCAAAGGGAUUGACGGGGCCCCGCACAAGCGGCGGAGCAUGCGGAUUAAUUCGAUGCAACGCGUAGAACCUUACCUGGGUUUGACAUGGAUCGGGAGUGCUCAGAGAUGGGUGUGCCUCUUUUGGGGUCGGUUCACAGGUGGUGCAUGGCUGUCGUCAGCUCGUGUCGUGAGAUGUUGGGUUAAGUCCCGCAACGAGCGCAACCCUUGUUCACUGUUGCCAGCACGUUAUGGUGGGGACUCAGUGGAGACCGCCGGGGUCAACUCGGAGGAAGGUGGGGAUGACGUCAAGUCAUCAUGCCCCUUAUGUCCAGGGCUUCACGCAUGCUACAAUGGCUGGUACAGAGAGUGGCGAGCCUGUGAGGGUGAGCGAAUCUCGGAAAGCCGGUCUCAGUUCGGAUUGGGGUCUGCAACUCGACCUCAUGAAGUCGGAGUCGCUAGUAAUCGCAGAUCAGCAACGCUGCGGUGAAUACGUUCCCGGGGCUUGUACACACCGCCCGUCAAGUCAUGAAAGUUGGUAACACCCGAAGCCGGUGGCCUAACCGUUGUGGGGGAGCCGUCGAAGGUGGGACUGGUGAUUAGG
This 1444-nucleotide ribosomal RNA is filed under the name uncultured bacterium. RNAcentral's name for it is "16S ribosomal RNA". It matches the Rfam family "Bacterial small subunit ribosomal RNA". The record is from RNAcentral.